Molecule: long non-coding RNA, 1149 nt
Filed under: Homo sapiens (human)
Lineage: Eukaryota; Metazoa; Chordata; Mammalia; Primates; Hominidae
Description: HSALNT0219033
Source: RNAcentral
CUCGAACUCCUGGGCUCAAGCUAUACUCCCAUCUCAACCUCCCGAGUAGCUGGGAUUACAGACGCGCGCCACCGUCUGACUAAUUUUUGUAUUUUUUGUAGAGAUGGGGUGUGAGGUGGGGGGGUGGAGGCUGGUCUCGAACUUCUGCCCUUAGGCGAUCCUCCCGCCUGGGCAUCCCACAUCGCUGGGAUUCCAGGCAUGAACUCAGUGGGCGCCUCCGUCUUCUAACUUCUGGCUGAGCCAGAAGAUGAUUGAGGGAGAAGGAGGACUUCCGGUUUUAAAAUGGCGGCUUGACUUCCCCGCCCCCCAGAAAGCCAAAAACAAAUAUGCAGCCCGGAGAUUUUCCUCAGCGAGAAUCCGAAGCUCAGAUUUGAGGAUGAGACAGAUCCUGGGACCACGGAGAAGUGAAAAUCUUCCGAGCAGGCGAAUCUUGCUGUGUUGCCCAGGCAGGAAUGCAGUGGUGCAAUCACGGCUCACUGCAGCCUCUACCUCCUAGGCUCAAGCAAUCCUCAGCCUCCUGAGAGUAGCUGGGACUACAGGUAUGUGUCACCACACCCAGCUAAUUUUUUCAUUUUGUUGUAGAGAUAAGGUCUUGCUUAAAAUACCUUUAUAAGCCAGGCACAAAAACACAUACUUUGCAUGUUCUCAUUUGUGGGAGCUAAAAAUUAAAACAAUUGAACAACUCAUGGAGCUAGAGAGUAGAACCAUGGUAUGAGAGGUUAGGAAGGAUAGUGGGGAGGGUAGUGGGGUUAAUGAGUAUAACAAUAUACUUGGAUAGAAUGGAUAAGAUCUAGCAUUUGAUAGUACAACAGGGUAACUACAGUCAACAAUAAUUUAUUGUACAUUUAAAAACAGCUAAAAGAGGCCGGGUGCAGUGGCUCACGCCUGUAAUCCUGGCACUUUGGGAGACUGAGGCGGGUGGAUCACCUGAGGUCAGGAGUUCGAGACCAGCCUGGCCAACAUGGUGAAACCCCAUCUCUACAAAAAAUACAAAAAUUAGGCCGGGCGCGAUGGCUCACGCCUGUAAUCCUAGCACUUUGGGAGGCUGAGAUGGGCGGAACAGGAGGUCAGGAGAUCGAGACUAUCCUGGCUAACAUGGUGAAACCCCGUCUCUACUAAAAAUACAAAAAAAAUUAUCUGGGUGUGGUG